Cavia porcellus (domestic guinea pig) is the source of this 1616-nucleotide long non-coding RNA. RefSeq lists it as uncharacterized. Lineage: Eukaryota; Metazoa; Chordata; Mammalia; Rodentia; Caviidae. The record is from RefSeq and is a predicted model, not a curated record. The transcript has 4 exons.
UGUCCUACACAGCUGGACCACAGUGAGGCGGGCACGUGGGUCACCACAGCAGGAGCACACACACAAAUCGGGUCAUUACUGACUUGGGGUGACUCUAGCCUCUGCCUUGGUCAGGGCGUCCGUUUUGACCACUGGGCUUUUUGGGAUUGAAAAGCCACUAGGGGAAGUAAUAGAAAAUGCUGCAUAAAACUUGGAAGAGAGGGAAAAGCAUAGCACCAGCACUCCCAGUUUAGAGUUCUUCCAGCUGAAGUUUUUCCCCUCCCUGUGAGUUUUUGGAUCCUGAUUUUUUUCCCCACAGGACUUUACCAUAACUGCUGUUUCUAGAACUGCCACUUUUCUUGGGCUCCAUUUUUUUUUUUUUUUUUUUUUAACGGUCACUUCAGAGCUCAGCAGACCUCAUGAGGAAAUUUCAGAGAGCAAGAGGGGGAGAAUUAGAGGCUUUGCUGAGGACACAGGCGGUGUAAGGGAGAACUAAGCAUCCACCCGCCUGGAGCAGGUGCUCAUAUCCAGCAUGGGAACAGGCACAGCAUGGGCUGUGGCCUUUCUUCUGGGACCAGCGGCCCUUCCCCAGGGUCCUGAUUUGUAGUCUGCAGGUCUCUGCUCCCCUGGACCUGCCUACCCCGGCUGACCCUCCAUGGCAUCUGCACCAGAGCCCCAUGAGCAGUGCAUCUUCCAGAGGUCCUCUGAACCAAGUCGAGAAGCUGUUAGCAUAGCUGUGUUUUCCCUGAGCACAAUAGACCUGCACAGAAACCUCACCAGCUGCAUCGGCCACAUGGAUGCACUGGCCCUGACAGGUCCAGCGCGCUUCUGCAGCUUCUCUUUGCUCUCCCCUCAUCUCCUUGUGUUUUUAUAAACAAAUUGGGGUGUCCUCUGCCCCACACCCCCUGGUGGCCUCCACUGUCUGGGAGCUGGGGCUGGGUGGUGACAGGAAAAACCAGCAGGUGGCAGAAGACUGUGUCUUCGGGGCUCCCAGCCUCCAUCCCAGCCCUGGGGCUGCCCAGAGACAGGACUCGGCCUUCUUUAGGAGCCUGCAAGGGGAAGUGAGGGCUAAGAACUGAACCCCAAGGAGCACAGGACACCCCUGAUUAAACCAAGAGAUGCUUUACUUGCAAGAACUCUAGUGGAGCCAGGCAGUUACACAGUUGCCUGAAAUUGUCCCAAAAUGGUUGCUUCCUGACCCCCAAUCACCUCCACACCCCAGUUUCUGGAAGAAGGGCUUGUGGUGCUCUCUCCCAGAAAGAGAUCAUUUCUCAUGAACCAGUGGGCAUUUUCCAUCUCUGUUCAGCAUUCUCCAGGCAAGUCUCUCCAUCUCGUCCUGACAAAUGGGCUCCCUGAAGGGACUGCAGACUCCACAAAAGAAGUUUAAACUCUGGAGCCCAGCAGCACUGCUUCUUGCCUUUGGGGAGAGAGAGCUCUGCUGUCUCCAGCUUGCCUGCUUUCCCUGAAUGAGUCUCUGGGUAUCUUCGGCAUCGCUGAAUCCUCACGACAGCUCGGGCGAGCCAAUUCUCCUGGCUCAGUUUCAAAAAGGAGAAAGCAGAGGCCCCAGCAGAGGCUUUGUUUGAGAAAUCUUAGCGUGCGAGCUCUUUUUAUUAAACCCUGCCGUCUGGCCCAGUCCU